This is a long non-coding RNA of Chenopodium quinoa (quinoa), 496 nucleotides long. RefSeq lists it as uncharacterized. Lineage: Eukaryota; Viridiplantae; Streptophyta; Magnoliopsida; Caryophyllales; Amaranthaceae. The record is from RefSeq and is a predicted model, not a curated record. The transcript is spliced from 2 exons.
UAGUUUACAGUAUAUAAAGAGCCAAAACUUCAUCACAUCUCCAUAAAUUCUCCAUCUUCCUACUUUAUAAUAAGAAACUAUACUACAUACUCUUGUUUAACAAAUGCUCGAAAACAUCAUUUAUGACUCUCAUAUUGGUUCUAUUAGUUAUUUUAUCUUGUGUAAUUAAUGCUUCGAGCUCAAGGUUACCUCACGAAAUUGGAGUACUUGGAGUAGGUGGGCGUUGCACACCAGAUCUAAGAUGUUCAGAUGGAGAGUGUAUCGGAGAGUGUAUCGCAAGCUGUGGAGGGGAGGGGGGGCACAAGCUCCACAUUCACAUUGCCUUUGUGACUCAUGUUGUUGUAUAAGAUAAAUUUACAUUGUAAAAUAAUGCAAUAAUUAUAAUUUGAAUAAAGGAAUGAUACACAUUCUUUGUAGUUCGUUGCAUUCUCCAUGAUGAUGUUGUAGAGGUAGAUAUGUCCCAUUUUAUUUACCAUUACCUUUGUUUUUCUUGAGU